UCAGUCAAAGAAUCAGGAAGCUGC
Molecule: non-coding RNA, 24 nt
Filed under: Arabidopsis thaliana (thale cress)
Lineage: Eukaryota; Viridiplantae; Streptophyta; Magnoliopsida; Brassicales; Brassicaceae
Source: RNAcentral